This 492-nucleotide ribosomal RNA is filed under the name uncultured bacterium. RNAcentral's name for it is "partial 16S ribosomal RNA". It matches the Rfam family "Bacterial small subunit ribosomal RNA", at positions 29 to 507 of the family's 1533-position model. The record is from RNAcentral.
AGUGAACGCUGGCGGUAGGCCUAACACAUGCAAGUCGAACGGCAGCACAGUAAGAGCUUGCUCUUACGGGUGGCGAGUGGCGGACGGGUGAGGAAUACAUCGGAAUCUACUUUUUCGUGGGGGAUAACGUAGGGAAACUUACGCUAAUACCGCAUACGACCUACGGGUGAAAGCAGGGGAUCUUCGGACCUUGCGCGAUUGAAUGAGCCGAUGUCGGAUUAGCUAGUUGGCGGGGUAAAGGCCCACCAAGGCGACGAUCCGUAGCUGGUCUGAGAGGAUGAUCAGCCACACUGGAACUGAGACACGGUUCAGACUCCUACGGGAGGCAGCAGUGGGGAAUAUUGGACAAUGGGCGCAAGCCUGAUCCAGCCAUACCGCGUGGGUGAAGAAGGCCUUCAGGUUGUAAAGCCCUUUUGUUGGGAAAGAAAAGCAGCAGGUUAAUACCCCGCUGUUCUGACGGUACCCAAAGAAUAAGCACCGGCUAACUUCGUG